CCAUCCGAGAGGCCCCGCCCCUUCAGGCCGCGUGUCGCCCUCCCAUUGGCUGCGCCCGGGAAGGCGCGCGCGCGCGCGCGCGAGAGAGAGAAUAGGGUUGUUGUAUGUCUUUCGGGCUGUGUGGCCAAUGUUCCAGAAGCAUUCUCUCCUGACGUUUCGCCCACGUCUACGGCAGGCAUCCUCAGAGGUGGUGAGAUAACCUAAGGAGAUGCGUCCUGAGGAGAUGAAAGAGCUUGCAAAACUACAGCUCCCUGGGUUCCGCAGCGUGGAGCCACGGCAGUCCCAAAGACUAGUGCGGCCAACCAAGGCGGCCUCCUCCGUGUUGCUGGGGAGCAAGGAAAGGCCUUGGGGCCGGACUGUGGCGCAGCUGGCUAGUAACCAGCUGCUAUAAAUCACUACUGACCAAGAGAUCAUGAGUUCGAAGCCCAGGUCGGGUUAAGCCUCCGACCAUAAAAAAAAAAUAGCCCCGGCUUGCUGUUGACCUAGCAGCCCCGAAAGACAGUUGCAUCUGUCAAAUAGGGAAAAUUUAGGUAAGCUUUAUGCGGGAGGCUAAUUUAACUAAUCUACAACACCAUAAAACUGCUCACGAGGAAAAGAAUGAAGGAAGAACAGCCACCAAUGGACGGUGAAGCAACAGCUCCCCCUGUGGCCAGAAUCGUGAAGCUGGAAAGAUGUUAAAAAAUGCCUCUGUGUCUGUCUAAAACUGAAUGUUGUUUGUCUGUUGGCAUUGAAUGUUUGCCAUAUAUGUGUUCAUUGUAAUCCGCCCAGAGUCCCCUUCGGGGUGAGAAAGAAGGGCGGGAUAUAAAUAAAUACUGUAAAUUGGGAAACAUCCCCACCCACCAAGGACAGGGCAGGACAGGACAAGGGCCAGCCUUCCAUCUCCGCAAGAGUUUACCUGUUUGUGUUGCAAACCAUGAAGAGCGGAGGUAAGGUGCCUUAGAAACACCUGAGUGGCUGACAAAGCCAAAGAGAAAAGAACGAGGUCCCACCCAGUUUUGGAAGCCAGGUCCUGGGUCACACUUGGAUGGGAGGCUGGCUGUGAGUCUCAGGUGCUGCAGGCAAUAUCACGGCCCGGAUUGAGGAUCAUGCGCAAGGAUUUGGGAUGAACGGAACUGUGCACUUGAUACGUUUUAAGUUUUGUACAUUGCUCGCUCCAUGUGUUUCAAUGCUUAAUGUAAAUUGUUUCUUAACUGUUUCAUGUUUUAUUGUACUGUUGUUUUUAUUGAUGAAGGUGUAUUGGGAAAAUAUAAUACUUGUAUUGGAAAAUAUAUAUCGAAUGUAAUCAUGUUAAAGAAAUAGAUAUAGAGAAAUGUAAUCACAAGCAGAUGUGUGCUAGUUUUAGGAAUACUCUGUUCAGCGAAAUAACUGCCUGCCCGUAGCAAGACUGAAAGUUCACUGAGACAUCUGUUAAAUGUCAACAAAGAACAGAUAAAGCUCCAUGCUAAUGGACAAAAGACAAAUUAAGGUUUUUUGGGAUGUCAAGAUAAGACCUAGAGCCAUGAGGGGAGUGCCAUUAAGUCUCUGACAACUAGGAUUAAUUAAUGAGAACCCUAAUGCAUGAGGCGAGAAUUCCAGUCUAAUAGGUCACUAACAGCUGAGACAACUGGAAUUCGCCUUUAUUAAUGAACACCCUUAAUGUGUGAGACGAGAAUUCCAAUGCUAAUAGGUCUUUGACAGUUGAGAUAACUAGGAUUCUCCUUAAUUAAUGAGAAUCCUUAAUGGGUAAGGCGAGGAUUCCAAAAGAUAACACCCUAAUGGAAGGGUAGAGGUCCUAAAAGUAGUUUAUAUUUUAGGAAAAUGCCAAGAUAAGCUUUUUAGUUAAGUGCUCAGUAAGACUUUUGUUUGACAUUAAUUGGUGAUUGAUAAUACCUGUGACGUAGGAUAGAGGCAAGCCAAAAUAGUAUAUAAGGAUCUGUGUUCUUUGUCUAAAUUACCUUCGCUUUCCUGAUGACAGGAGAAGGUCUCCUUUUUCUUUAUUGCUGUAUUCUCACUGGCCAUUGAGAAUAAAGACGUCAUUUUUCUACAA
Molecule: long non-coding RNA, 2026 nt
Organism: Anolis carolinensis (green anole)
Lineage: Eukaryota; Metazoa; Chordata; Lepidosauria; Squamata; Anolidae
Exons: 2
Source: RefSeq, a predicted model, not a curated record